This 72-nucleotide transfer RNA is filed under the name Camelus dromedarius (Arabian camel). It matches the Rfam family "tRNA". Rfam says of the family: Transfer RNA (tRNA) molecules are approximately 80 nucleotides in length. RNAcentral also lists the same sequence under 2 other names. The record is from Rfam by way of RNAcentral. Lineage: Eukaryota; Metazoa; Chordata; Mammalia; Artiodactyla; Camelidae.
GUGGGUAUGGCUCAGUGAUAGAGCUCAUGCUUAGCAUGCACAAGGUCCUGGGUUUAAUCCCCAGUACCUCUG